UACGAAGGGGGCUAGCGUUGUUCGGAAUUAUUGGGCGUAAAGCGCGUGUAGGCGGCUGUUUAAGUCUGGUGUGAAAGCCCGGGGCUCAACCCCGGAAGUGCACUGGAUACUGAAUAGCUCGAGGAUGAGAGAGGGAAGCGGAAUUCCUGGUGUAGGGGUGAAAUCCGUAGAUAUCAGGAGGAACAUCAGUUGCGAAGGCGGCUUCCUGGCUCAUUUCUGACGCUGAGACGCGAAAGCGUGGGGAGCAAACAGG
RNAcentral lists this ribosomal RNA (253 nucleotides) under uncultured bacterium. Its description in RNAcentral is "partial 16S ribosomal RNA". It matches the Rfam family "Bacterial small subunit ribosomal RNA", at positions 524 to 776 of the family's 1533-position model. The record is from RNAcentral.